Molecule: ribosomal RNA, 253 nt
Filed under: uncultured bacterium
Lineage: Bacteria
Description: partial 16S ribosomal RNA
Rfam family: Bacterial small subunit ribosomal RNA
Source: RNAcentral
UACGAAGGGUGCUAGCGUUAUUCGGAAUAACUGGGCGUAAAGAGCGUGUCGGCGGUCUUUUAAGUCAACUGUAAAAGAGCUCGGCUUAACCGAGUAAAUGCGGGUGAUACUGGAAGACUAGAGUGCGGGAGAGAAGGGUAGAAUUCUCGGAGUAGCGGUAAAAUGCGUAGAUCUCGAGAGGAAUACCGGUUGCGAAGGCGGCCCUUUGGCCCGUAACUGACGCUUAAGCGCGAAAGCGUGGGGAGCAAACAGG